AUUGAACGCUGGCGGCAGGCCUAACACAUGCAAGUCGAACGAGUGGCGGACGGGUGAGUAAUGUCUGGGAAACUGCCUGAUGGAGGGGGAUAAUUACUGGAAACGGUAGCUAAUACCGCAUACCAUCAGAUGUGCCCAGAUGGGAUUAGCUUGGUGGUGGGGUAACGGCUCACCAAGGCGACGAUCCCUAGCUGGUCUUGGAGGAUGACCAGCCACACAGGAACUGAGACACGGUCCAGACUCCUACGGGAGGAAGCAGUGGGGAAUAUUGCACAAUGGGAGAAAGCCUGAUGCAGCCAUGCCGCGAGAAUGAAGAAGGCAUUCGGAUUGUAAAGUACUUUCAGCGGGGAAGCGUUACCCGCAGAAGAAGCACCGGCUAACGCCGUGCCAGCAGCCGCGGUAAUAC
Molecule: ribosomal RNA, 406 nt
Filed under: uncultured bacterium
Lineage: Bacteria
Description: partial 16S ribosomal RNA
Rfam family: Bacterial small subunit ribosomal RNA
Source: RNAcentral